Echinops telfairi (small Madagascar hedgehog) is the source of this 194-nucleotide non-coding RNA. NCBI's taxonomy places the organism in Eukaryota, Metazoa, Chordata, Mammalia, Afrosoricida, Tenrecidae. The record is from Rfam.
GCCGAGGUGCUCGAUGGUCUUGCGUGUUGGAUGGAGGGGGCGGGCCUAGACUUGGCGCCCGACAACCAAGAGAUCGCCUCGAGUGGGCGGUUCGGAGACUACAUCUCCCAAGGGCCCCUGCGCGGCGCGAAAGGGGAAGCACUGCGGACCCACUGCGCAGGCGCGGGAGUCUCCAUUGUCUAUAUAUGCGAGCU